Molecule: long non-coding RNA, 1438 nt
Organism: Hemicordylus capensis (graceful crag lizard)
Lineage: Eukaryota; Metazoa; Chordata; Lepidosauria; Squamata; Cordylidae
Exons: 4
Source: RefSeq, a predicted model, not a curated record
CCGUUCAGGAGCAGCAAAAGCAGCAAGCUGGCUGUGAUCACUUACUUGUCCGUCUCUUGUGACAUGUUUGAUCCAAUGAACUCUCUCCCCUUUUCCAGGUGCCUCAGUCUCUCUGGUGAAACUGGACUUUCAAGUCUGUGCAGCCAGCCGCGGAGGUAGGAGUGGGACAGGUAAAGCCCCCUUCUCCCCGCCCCUCGCAUGUGGAAAGAAGACUGGCUGGGCUCUGGGCUUUUUCGCUCUCCCUCCCCCUGCUGUUUAGGGCUCCGAGCAGGGAAGCAGCAAAGUCUAAAGGCGCCUACAGGUAACUUUCCCAAGAGAAGCUGGAUUCUUUCACUAGAGAAUAGAAGGCAGAGGGACGAGCUGCGAGCUGAUUGGGCAGAGCUGGCCCUCAGGUGAGCAGCCAUUGGAAGAGGCGCGCUCAGAUCAUUGAAAGGGCUGCUUCUGUGGGCUGGCAUCUUUACCACAAGACAUCUCCAAAGUCCUCCAGCCGCCGCCUCCUAGAACAGAAGCUCUCAGCCUGGGGUCCCCAUUUGUGGCUGUGGAUUAUGGGAAUUGCAGUCCAACAUCAUCUGAGGACCUGAGCUUCAGAAUCCCUGCUCUGGAGCAAAGAUCCUGGUACCUGGAUUAUAUCGUCAAUUUCCAGGGGCAGAAGACAGCACCAUAAACAACCCUACAGCUCCCUAAUACAGUAAACCAGCGUAUUUGCUCUAUGCCAGUCCUGUAAUCCAUGCAGUUUCACAUGGCUUUUCAAUUCUGACUGUUUAGAAAAGGGCUUCCCUGCAAAGAAAAGGGCUUCCCUGCAUUCAUUCAAAAAAGAGGAAAAAUGAGUCAAAACGCUUCGUGUCAUGUUAGCAUUUCUUACAACCUGCAGUUUCACUGUAUCAUCCAUGGAGCGACUGUUAUGAGGAAGCAGCGGGAAAGGGGACUCAUAGCUACCCCUAUGGAGUAAUGUUCAUAUAAAGAGAUGAAAUUGGGAUAAAAGGUUGAGUAAAAAUAUGGAUGAAUAUUUGUAGAAGUUGGAUCUAUUCUAAGCCAUAUUCUCAACCAGGAGCAAAGUUCUGACUAGGAUCCUUUGUACAUAUGUAUUGGAUUCUAUCACAUGGUGAGCAAAUUGCACAUUAGAAAACAAAUGGUGUCUAAAUCUAUAUGGAGGGUCUUGGUAUUAAAUUAACACACUGCUAGCCUACAAACAUUUUUACUCUCUAUAUUUGUGGCGCACCGACAGUCUGAAGAAUGAAUGAAUGAAUGAAUGAACGAAUGAAUGAAUAUCUUCCAGUUAGAUUUAGAUUUGUUUUUAGACUUAUAUUAACUGAAUUUUUAAAAUUUGUUUUUAUUGCUGAUCACCUUGGGAGCUGUUAAUGAUGGAAAUACGUUCUAUAUAAAAAUAGUAAAUACUGUAAAUGCAAUACGAACAUAGUAAAUAAAGCUUCUCUGCCUA